This 21-nucleotide ribosomal RNA is filed under the name Sterigmatomyces elviae. RNAcentral describes it as "partial 26S rRNA". Lineage: Eukaryota; Fungi; Basidiomycota; Agaricostilbomycetes; Agaricostilbales; Agaricostilbaceae. The record is from RNAcentral. RNAcentral also lists the same sequence under 2 other names.
CUGACCUCAAAUCAGGUAGGA